This 468-nucleotide ribosomal RNA is filed under the name uncultured bacterium. Its description in RNAcentral is "partial 16S ribosomal RNA". It matches the Rfam family "Bacterial small subunit ribosomal RNA", at positions 28 to 507 of the family's 1533-position model. The record is from RNAcentral.
GACGAACGCUGGCGGCGUGCUUAACACAUGCAAGUCGAACGGAAAGGCCCUGCUUUUGUGGGGUGCUCGAGUGGCGAACGGGUGAGUAACACGUGAGUAACCUGCCCUUGACUUUGGGAUAACUUCAGGAAACUGGGGCUAAUACCGGAUAGGAGCUCCUGAUGCAUGGUGGGGGUUGGAAAGUUUCGGCGGUUGGGGAUGGACUCGCGGCUUAUCAGCUUGUUGGUGGGGUAGUGGCUUACCAAGGCUUCGACGGGUAGCCGGCCUGAGAGGGUGACCGGCCACAUUGGGACUGAGAGACGGCCCAGACUCCAACAGGAGGCAGCGGUGGGAAGUAUUGCACAGUGAGCGGGAGCCUGAUACAGCAGCGCCGCGUGCGUGAUGACGGCCUUCUGGUUGUAAACCGCUUUCGCCUGUGACGAAGCGUGAGUGACGGUAAUGAAUAAAGAAGCACCGGCUAACUACGUG